RNAcentral lists this ribosomal RNA (425 nucleotides) under uncultured bacterium. RNAcentral describes it as "partial 16S ribosomal RNA". It matches the Rfam family "Bacterial small subunit ribosomal RNA", at positions 354 to 796 of the family's 1533-position model. The record is from RNAcentral.
GUAGGGAAUCUUGCACAAUGGGCGAAAGCCUGAUGCAGCCAUGCCGCGUGAAUGAUGAAGGCCUUAGGGUUGUAAAAUUCUUUCGUCAGGGAUGAUAAUGACCGUACCUGAAGAAGAAGCCCCGGCUAACUUCGUGCCAGCAGCCGCGGUAAUACGAAGGGGGCUAGCGUUGUUCGGAAUUACUGGGCGUAAAGCGCACGUAGGCGGACUUUUAAGUCAGGUGUGAAAUCCCGGGGCUCAACCUCGGAACUGCAUUUGAAACUGGAAGUCUUGAGAUCAGGAGAGGUUAGCGGAAUACCGAGUGUAGAGGUGAAAUUCGUAGAUAUUCGGUGGAACACCAGUGGCGAAGGCGGCUAACUGGACUGAUACUGACGCUGAGGUGCGAAAGUGUGGGGAGCAAACAGGAUUAGAAACCCCAGUAGUCC